RNAcentral lists this ribosomal RNA (497 nucleotides) under uncultured bacterium. RNAcentral's name for it is "partial 16S ribosomal RNA". It matches the Rfam family "Bacterial small subunit ribosomal RNA", at positions 28 to 507 of the family's 1533-position model. The record is from RNAcentral.
GAUGAACGCUGGCGGCGUGCCUAAUACAUGCAAGUCGAGCGAACGGACGAGAAGCUUGCUUCUCUGAUGUUAGCGGCGGACGGGUGAGUAACACGUGGAUAACCUACCUAUAAGACUGGGAUAACUUCGGGAAACCGGAGCUAAUACCGGAUAAUAUUUUGAACCGCAUGGUUCAAAAGUGAAAGACGGUCUUGCUGUCACUUAUAGAUGGAUCCGCGCUGCAUUAGCUAGUUGGUAAGGUAACGGCUUACCAAGGCAACGAUGCAUAGCCGACCUGAGAGGGGGAUUGGCCACACUGGAACUGAGACACGGUCCCGACUCCUACGGGAGGCCGCAGUAGGGAAUCUUCCGCAAUGGGCGAAAGCCUGACGGAGCAACGCCGCGUGAGUGAUGAAGGUCUUCGGAUCGUAAAACUCUGUUAUUAGGGAAGAACAUAUGUGUAAGUAACUGUGCACAUCUUGACGGUACCUAAUCAGAAAGCCACGGCUAACUACGUG